RNAcentral lists this ribosomal RNA (1619 nucleotides) under Triticum aestivum (bread wheat). Its description in RNAcentral is "partial small subunit ribosomal RNA". The record is from RNAcentral. Lineage: Eukaryota; Viridiplantae; Streptophyta; Magnoliopsida; Poales; Poaceae.
GCUCGGAUGACCAUGUCUGCAUCCAGCAGCUUCUAGUCCACAGUUGAUUAAAAAAAGCAAGAGGCACCACCAAAUCCCCACCGAUGUCACCACCCACUGCGUGCCCCUUCUUAUCCACAACACGUCGCCAUUCCUCAUCACCCAAGCGCCGCUCCGCCUCCAUCUUCCUCCUGCUGCCUGACCACCCAUCGUUGCUCCUCCUCCUCUUCUCCUCUUCUCCAUCCGCCUCACACCCAAGUGUUGCUUUCCUGUUCUUGGCCGCGGUGGCUGGCCUGAGCCACAUCCCAGCUGACAGCGUCGGCGUGCUUUCUAGCUACGGCUGGGGCGUUGGUGGCCUGCUCAUCGGCGCACUCGGGCCGGGGCGGAGCCCCCUUCCUUGCAGUGGUGAUGGAGCCCCUCCUCCCGGAGGGUGGCUGGGGGCAACCGAGGUUGCGGGGCAGGUGUGCAGUGGCUCGGUUGCGCCAGAUCUGGCGGCUGGCCAGCACGCGCGGGGGGCGGUCUGGUGGUGGUGUUCGUCUGCCGGUGGCCACGGAUGUGGGAGUGCCGAAGCUGCCUCCGAUGAAAGCCCCUGGGCCCCGGUUUUCUCUUCCAUGAGCUGGUCUCUGUAUCAGCAAUGGGCAUCAAUUUUCUCUGUAUCUUUAGUUCGGCUCUCUCUCCUUCUUUAGGAUUAUUAGCUCAAAUGGCAAUUAAGACAUUUCUUUCUAUUAGGCUCGGUGCUUUUCUUUGGAUUCAUGUGCAUCUCCUCUUUGCUCAUUUUCAAUUGGUGACGCAUAUAGUAGAUGCGGCAGGCAGCUUUCUUGAUUUUUCUCUAGGGUAAACAUGAACAUCUCAUCCGCUUUUUGUUGGCUUGUUGAUCUUGUAAUGCAUGAAAUAAGUUGGUUGGAUUUUAUGUAAUAGAGCAGGUAGGACUAUUAAUUGGAAUCUGAAAUUUUAGCACAGGCACAAGACUUGGUUCCUAAGGCAGGAAGAGGAGGAGCUUGGGCGCGCUGGUGAGAGGAGCCGAAGUGGAACGGUGGUGCCGGGUGAUGCGGUCGCCGGCGUCGGCCGGCAGCGGAUUGAGCAUCACGUGGGCCGCGAGCUUCUUUGUAAACCACAGGGGCUUCUUUGUAAAAAAGCGUGACGGACGACAGAAAUCCAACCAUCCGGAGCUGUCGCCGCCGCGAAGAGCGCCGCCCCACCGCGCCGGAAAGGAAGCAUGUGGAUAAGAUAGAACAAAGGGUCGCGGACCGAAUUCUUACAAACGUAGGGUUCUUUUUUGUAAAAAUGAAUCGUUAUCUCAGAUCCACUUAAACAGGGACUGCGGGUUGAAUUCUCACAAGCAGAGGGGCUUUUUCGUAAAAACGCCGACGACGUACGGGCAGAAGCACUCCGUGCUUUAUUAGUAGGGAAAGAUAAAAAUAAAACAAAGUAUUAGUCUAUAGUCCAUGACUGUCCUUAAAAAAAGUUGAUUGAGGGCAUGUUUGAUAGCAAAGUAUCUUUAAAGUAUCAUAAUACUGCAGUUUUUAGAUUAGUAGUUUUAUUUACAACGGGUUGUUUGGCUGCGUCUAAAAACUGUGGUUUUAAUACUAGAGUAUUUGUCAAACCACAGUAUUUCCUGUGUAUAAUAAAAAGAACACCAG